Non-coding RNA from Ictidomys tridecemlineatus (thirteen-lined ground squirrel), 885 nucleotides. Lineage: Eukaryota; Metazoa; Chordata; Mammalia; Rodentia; Sciuridae. The record is from RefSeq and is a predicted model, not a curated record.
AAUUGUGCUCUAUUUGUGUACAAUGAAUCGAAGAGCAUUCUGCUGUCAUGUAUAACUGAUUAAAACAAGUUUUUAAAAAGUGUGUACAUGUGUACACUUAUGGUGGGGGGGGGGAGAAGCAAAAGACCAAGAACUAGAGAUAAUGAUGGAAAUUAGAAUAAAAAAAACAGAGAGAAAGAAUGAUUAUCUCUGAUUUAGAGAACUGAGAGGGAGGUUUUUGAGGUGAGGGAUGGAUAGAACCUUGAGGAGUGGGCAGCAUUUUAAUAAGGUGAGUUUGGAUGAGCAAAGGGACCCAUGGGUACCAGUCAUCUGUUGUAUUUGGGCUGGGGUAUAGGGCCUAGGGAAUAGAAAAGAUUGGAGCACUUGUUGGGAUCAGACAGCAAAGUUUAUUAGAGGCAAGGGUUAGGAGUUUGCAUCGGGUCUAUGUAGCUAUUUAAGGUUUUGUGACAAUACUGGGACUUGUACUAUAUUUUGAGGAGACUCAUCUGGCAGCAAUGGAAUGCAAAGACUAUAAAGGAAAGAGAAAAGAUUCCGGAAAACAAGUGAACACAAUAAUCAUCCAGAAGUAAUGGACUGACUACUUGAACUAAGGAUGGAGAAAGGCAACAGGACAAACAGUGAAGUGUCCCAGAGAGGAGAGGCCCAGCCUGGAUAACUCGAGUUUCCUGAUCUCCAAAAAGAGGAAGGGAGAACCACCCUCAGAAGUUGAUUGUGGAAAUUGGAAGGGUCCAUGAAGGCCAAGCAUCUAACUCACAAUAGGGACAUUCAGGGAAGAAGGAUCCUCUCUUGACCUCAGCAUACCCCAGAACUAUGAUCAAUAACAAUCUCCAAGCUACAGAAAGGGCAUGAAAGCUGACUUCCAAUAAACCUGGAUAUCCAAACUGC